Molecule: ribosomal RNA, 253 nt
Filed under: uncultured bacterium
Lineage: Bacteria
Description: partial 16S ribosomal RNA
Rfam family: Bacterial small subunit ribosomal RNA
Source: RNAcentral
UACAGAGGAGCCAAGCGUUGUCCGGAUUGACUGGGCGUAAAGCGCACGCAGGCGGUCGCGCGCGUGGGGUGUGAAAUCUGGCCGCUUAACGGCCAGGCGCCAUCCCAUACGGCGCGACUGGAGUGAUGCAGAGGUCGAUGGAAUUGCCGGUGUAGUGGUGAAAUGCGUAGAGAUCGGCAGGAACACCCAGGGGGAAACCAGUCGACUGGGCAUCUACUGACGCUGAGGUGCGAGAGCGUGGGGAGCGAACCGG